This 225-nucleotide ribosomal RNA is filed under the name Lactobacillus sp. HBUAS51387. Its description in RNAcentral is "partial 23S ribosomal RNA". It matches the Rfam family "Bacterial large subunit ribosomal RNA", at positions 228 to 449 of the family's 2925-position model. The record is from RNAcentral. Lineage: Bacteria; Bacillati; Bacillota; Bacilli; Lactobacillales; Lactobacillaceae.
AAAUCGAUUCCCUAAGUAGCGGCGAGCGAACGGGGAAUAGCCCAAACCAAAGAGCUUGCUCUUUGGGGUUGUAGGACUGAACAUUUGAGUUACCAAAGUUAAUGAUAAUCGAAGAGUCUGGGAAGACUCGGCACAGAGGGUGAUACCCCCGUAGAUGAAAUUGUUGACCCUCAGUUCAGGAUCCUGAGUACGGCCACACACGUGAAACGUGGUCGGAAUCCGGGA